RNAcentral lists this ribosomal RNA (425 nucleotides) under uncultured bacterium. RNAcentral describes it as "bacterial SSU rRNA". It matches the Rfam family "Bacterial small subunit ribosomal RNA", at positions 356 to 773 of the family's 1533-position model. The record is from RNAcentral.
GGGGAAUUUUGGACAAUGGGCGCAAGCCUGUUCCAGCCAUGCCGCGUGCGGGAAGAAGGCCUUCGGGUUGUAAACCGCUUUUGUCAGGGAAGAAAUCUUCUGGGUUAAUACCUCGGGAGGAUGACGGUACCUGAAGAAUAAGCACCGGCUAACUACGUGCCAGCAGCCGCGGUAAUACGUAGGGUGCAAGCGUUAAUCGGAAUUACUGGGCGUAAAGCGUGCGCAGGCGGUUGUGCAAGACAGGUGUGAAAUCCCCGGGCUUAACCUGGGAACUGCACUUGUGACUGCACGGCUGGAGUACGGCAGAGGGGGAUGGAAUUCCGCGUGUAGCAGUGAAAUGCGUAGAUAUGCGGAGGAACACCGAUGGCGAAGGCAAUCCCCUGGGCCUGUACUGACGCUCAUGCACGAAAGCGUGGGGAGCAAAC